GCGGGUAUAGUUUAGUGGUAAAAUACUUCCUUGCCAAGGAAGAAAUUCGGGUCCGAUUCCCGAUACCCGCA
This 71-nucleotide transfer RNA is filed under the name Candidatus Zambryskibacteria bacterium RIFCSPLOWO2_02_39_10. RNAcentral describes it as "tRNA-Gly". It matches the Rfam family "tRNA". Rfam says of the family: Transfer RNA (tRNA) molecules are approximately 80 nucleotides in length. The record is from RNAcentral. Lineage: Bacteria; Candidatus Zambryskiibacteriota.